UACGAAGGAUCCAAGCGUUGUCCGGAUUUACUGGGUUUAAAGGGUGCGUAGGCGGACUAUUAAGUCAGUGGUGAAAGCUUGCAGCUUAACUGUAAAAUUGCCAUUGAAACUGAUAGUCUCGAAUAUGGUUGAGGUGGUUGGAAUGUAUCAUGUAGCGGUGAAAUGCUUAGAUAUGAUACAGAACACCGAUUGCGAAGGCAGAUCACUAAACCAUUAUUGACGCUGGGGCACGAAAGCGUGGGGAUCAAACAGG
RNAcentral lists this ribosomal RNA (253 nucleotides) under uncultured bacterium. RNAcentral describes it as "partial 16S ribosomal RNA". It matches the Rfam family "Bacterial small subunit ribosomal RNA", at positions 524 to 776 of the family's 1533-position model. The record is from RNAcentral.